RNAcentral lists this ribosomal RNA (357 nucleotides) under uncultured Anaerolineaceae bacterium. RNAcentral's name for it is "bacterial SSU rRNA". It matches the Rfam family "Bacterial small subunit ribosomal RNA", at positions 1010 to 1382 of the family's 1533-position model. The record is from RNAcentral. Lineage: Bacteria; Bacillati; Chloroflexota; Anaerolineae; Anaerolineales; Anaerolineaceae.
ACCGGACCCUUCGGGGAGCUUGUACAGGUGCUGCAUGGCUGUCGUCAGCUCGUGUCGUGAGAUGUUCGGUUAAGUCCGCUAACGAGCGCAACCCUCGCUGUGUGUUACAAGUGUCACACGGAACUGCCGGUCAUAAACCGGAGGAAGUGGGAUGACGUCAAGUCAGCAUGGCCUUUAUAUCCUGGGCUACACACACGCUACAAUGGGAAGGGACAAUAGGUUGCGAAGCCGCGAGGCGGAGCCAAUCCAGCAAAACUUCCCUCAGUUCAGAUUGCAGGCUGCAACUCGCCUGCAUGAAGUUGGAGUUGCUAGUAAACGCAGGUCAGCCAUACUGCGUUGAAUACGUUCCCGGGGCUU